This 71-nucleotide microRNA precursor is filed under the name Paramuricea clavata. Lineage: Eukaryota; Metazoa; Cnidaria; Anthozoa; Malacalcyonacea; Plexauridae. The record is from RNAcentral.
GAUUCGGCGAAAUAUUACCCUCAGUGAUGAUAUUUAUGAAUAUCAUCACUGAGGGUAAUAUUUCGCAGAAU